GUCGAGAAUCUUUCACAAUGGGGGCAACCCUGAUGGAGCGACGCCGCGUGGAGGAUAAGGUCUUCGGAUUGUAAACUCCUGUCAUGCGUGAACAAGGUUGCUUGGUUAAUACCUGGGCAAAUUGAUGGUAACGCAAGAGGAAGAGACGGCUAACUCUGUGCCAGCAGCCGCGGUAAUACAGAGGUCUCAAGCGUUGUUCGGAAUCACUGGGCGUAAAGGGUGCGUAGGUGGCGUGGUAAGUCAGAUGUGAAAGCCCGGGGCUCAACCUCGGAACUGCAUCCGAUACUGCCAUGCUAGAGUACUGGAGAGGUGACUAGAAUUCUCGGUGUAGCAGUGAAAUGCGUAGAUAUCGAGAGGAAUACCAAAGGCGUAGGCAGGUCACUGGACAGUUACUGACACUGAGGCACGAAACCUAAGGUAGCGAAUGGGAUUAGAUACCCCUGUAGUCC
This 449-nucleotide ribosomal RNA is filed under the name uncultured bacterium. RNAcentral's name for it is "bacterial SSU rRNA". It matches the Rfam family "Bacterial small subunit ribosomal RNA", at positions 354 to 796 of the family's 1533-position model. The record is from RNAcentral.